Molecule: ribosomal RNA, 500 nt
Filed under: uncultured bacterium
Lineage: Bacteria
Description: partial 16S ribosomal RNA
Rfam family: Bacterial small subunit ribosomal RNA
Source: RNAcentral
AUUGAACGCUGGCGGAAUGCUUUACACAUGCAAGUCGAACGGCAGCACGGACUUCGGUCUAGUGGCGAGUGGCGAACGGGUGAGUAAUGUAUCGGAACGUGCCCAGUCGUGGGGGAUAACGUAGUGAAAAUUACGCUAAUACCGCAUACGAUCUAUGGAUGAAAGCGGGGGAUCGCAAGACCUCGCGCGAUUGGAGCGGCCGAUAUCAGAUUAGGUAGUUGGUGGGGUAAAGGCCCACCAAGCCAACGAUCUGGAGUUGGUCUGAGGGGACGAACAGGCACACUGGAACUGAGACACGGGCCAGACUCCUACGGGAGGCAGCAGUGGGGAAAUUUGGACAAUGGGCGAAAGCCUGAUCCAGCCAUUCCGCGUGCAGGAUGAAGGCCCUCGGGUUGUAAACUGCUUUUGUACAGAACGAAAAGGUUUCUACUAAUACUAGGAGCUCAUGACGGUACUGUAAGAAUAAGCACCGGCUAACUACGUGCCAGCCGCCGCCGUAA